UAUAGCGUGCUAGUGUGUUAGCAGGGAGAGACGGCUGGGUCUGUCAGGCUUGGUUCCGAGAAAGUUUCACUUUCUGCCGCAGUAUUCGUUAACGGAAACUAAAACUGUAAGAACACAUUUUCAUAACCUGAAAUAAGAUAAGGCAGAAGAAAAGCUACAACCAGAUGAAAUCUAAGUAUUACUUCCAAAACCAACUGAAAUAGAAUCAAAACAUGAAAAAAAUGUCAAAUACUUUGCUAGUGUUUUUUUUAAUUCUGUUUAUCUGAAUUAAUGACUUGUUUAUCUUUACCAUUAAUAGUAUGUGGAGCAUCAGACUGAAAGCUGAAUGUAUCCAUCUCUACAAUUAAAACGACUUAAGCGGAAGCUAAAACACAUAAAAACUAAAAGCUGUUGUCUUUAAAAAAAACAAUAAAACCACACCAAUAACUAUAGCUAAAACUAAAUGCGAUUUCAAAUGAAAAUUGAAAAUAAUGUAAAAAAAACCCCAGGCUGUAAUGCUGCUUUCUUCCCAGGUAUCUGCCUUACACAGCCCCCCAUGUCAGGCAGGUACCCUGGGUAGGUAUUCUCUGUGGAGGCCCAAAUCCAAGCUUCGUGUCGAGGGGCCAUUUUUAAAUGAUUUUAUUUUCACGGCCCAUGUAAGUUAGUUAGACUUGAUAAAUUUUACUUUAUUGCAUGAACCUUCAAAACAUGUAAUCAAUAGAACGAGUGUGUCUUUCGUAGGUCAUGUACUUAUUAAUUCAGUGAAAAAUGUAUGGGCAAAAAUCUGUUCAAAUCCAUGGAUCUGAAUAUAUAUUUUUUUUCGAAUGAUCAUGUGGGGUGGGAAAAAUAGCCAGCUCUUAUGCCCGGGUCUGCCUUAUGUCGUCAAAUUCAUAUUUAAUUUAAUUAUUUAAUUUUUUGUGUGCUAUGAUUAUGCAAAGUACUGAAUUCCCAUGUCAGGCAUGGCUUGGCUCUUAAUGCAUUAUGAGUAAAGCAAAUUGAAGCUGGCACUUUGACAGGGGCCUACUGGCCUGGUCACCGAGAUCAGGCUGAAGUCUCAUAGGACAGGAUCACAUUACCGAGGUUAGCUGAAGCCUCGUGGGACAGGGUCACUCACAUUACCGAGGUUAGCUGAAGCCUCUUGGGACAGGGUCACUCACAUUACCGAGGUUAGCUGAAGCCUCUUGGGACAGGGUCACUCACAUUACCGAGGUUAGCUGAAGCCUCAUAGAACAGAGUCACAUUACCGAGGUUAACUGAAGCCUCUUGGGACAGGGUCACUCACAUUACCGAGGUUAGCUGAAGCCUCAUAGAACAGAGUCACAUUACCGAGGUUAGCUGAAACCUCGUGGGACAGGGUCGCUCACAUUACCGAGGUUAGCUGAAGCCUCUUGGGACAGGGUCACUCACAUUACCGAGGUUAGCUGAAGCCUCAUAGAACAGAGUCACAUUACCGAGGUUAGCUGAAGCCUCGUGGGACAGGGUCACUCACAUUACCGAGGUUAGCUGAAGCCUCUUGGGACAGGGUCACUCACAUUACCGAGGUUAGCUGAAGCCUCUUGGGACAGGGUCACUCACAUUACCGAGGUUAGCUGAAGCCUCAUGGGACAGGGUCACUCACAUUACCGAGGUUAGCUGAAGCCUCAUAGAACAGAGUCACAUUACCGAGGUUAGCUGAAGCCUCGUGGGACAGGGUCACUCACAUUACCGAGGUUAGCUGAAGCUGCCCCAUCACAACAACAAGGCAACAGAAUCAGUCAAUCAUUAUACUCGCAGUUUGUCAUUUUCACAAAAUAGAUCCAUGUAUCAGUUACGUACCAUAACAUGUUAAAUAUUUAGGUAUUCAUGUAUGUAUAUAUGUAUGUAAAAGGCAGCAUUAGUCAUAAAGGUUUAAAUGUUGAUAAAAAAGUGUAUAAACACCCAAGUAUACAUAAGACUGGAGUAAAUUGGUAGGUUUAGUUCCAAGACCUGCAUGCUGUUAUACCUUUUUAUUCGUUUGUUGUUACGCAUGUAACAACGGCACUCAGUCACUGAAACUUGGCUGAACUAAGGCUUUUGCACAUAGCCAUGUUCUAAAUCUCUGCACUUAAAAAUAUCAUUUUAAUCUAGAGACUAUUUAUAUCUUCAGAAUUACUGUGUAAUUAUAGUUAUAUAUUUUUAACCUGUUUGCGAAAGUUGGCAUGUCACUGACCUGUGUGUCUUGGGAAUAUCAGUGUUUCUUAGGUUCUUGUUUUUCAAACCUCCAGACCCACCAUGUAACAAGAGAGUUUAUAUUUUAAGUAUCGUUUAAGAAAUGUGCUGACCUCACUGAAAUAUCUUUGAAACAAAAACAGGGAAAAACACACAUCUAGCUAGAAAUGGCACAGCCUUCACCGUAGAGGCCUAUUUUUCAACACUGUUGUGUUUUUGGAAACUCGAUAUAUUUUUAGCAGGACAGAAAUUAAACUCUGCCUGACUGUGAAGAUUGAUUGUACUUCCUGCACGUUGUGACAUUCCACUACAGAGACAGGCUAUGUAAUGUGCAACUUCCUUUUUUUUU
Long non-coding RNA from Brienomyrus brachyistius, 2515 nucleotides. RefSeq lists it as uncharacterized. The transcript has 3 exons. NCBI's taxonomy places the organism in Eukaryota, Metazoa, Chordata, Actinopteri, Osteoglossiformes, Mormyridae. The record is from RefSeq and is a predicted model, not a curated record.